CAAAUUUUAGGGUUCUUGCAAUGCCGAGGACGCCGGUGUCUGCAAUCCUCGGCAAUCUUUUAGGUGGCGUUCGCGGCCGCGCCAAUGUCGCAGCUUGGUCUAUAGCUGCGAUCACCGUGUACUUCUUCUGGGUCAGGCCGGAGCAGCAAAUGAAAGAAGAUCGCGAGGCAAGGGCCGCAUUGUUUAGGGCGGAGCAAUCUCUUAAGAAAGAGGCCGAGUAAGCCGAGUAAAAGAACGAGUUUUAGCAGCAGCGCGUUUUCUCGCAAGUCGGUGAUGAAAAGAGAAGAAAAGGAAGAAUAAAAAUCUAUUUGGCC
Selaginella moellendorffii is the source of this 314-nucleotide long non-coding RNA. RefSeq lists it as uncharacterized. The record is from RefSeq and is a predicted model, not a curated record. NCBI's taxonomy places the organism in Eukaryota, Viridiplantae, Streptophyta, Lycopodiopsida, Selaginellales, Selaginellaceae. The transcript is spliced from 3 exons.